ACCCACUGCCUCCUCUCGGCAAGAUAUGUUUGAUAUAUUUGGUGGUGCCUCUUACAGUCCACCAGAUAUCAAACAUGUCAUGUGGAGGGUGGCUGUACACU
This 101-nucleotide microRNA precursor is filed under the name Capitella teleta. RNAcentral describes it as "microRNA cte-mir-190 precursor". Its record names the gene cte-mir-190. The stretch from base 13 to 89 matches the Rfam family "mir-190 microRNA precursor family". The record is from miRBase by way of RNAcentral. Lineage: Eukaryota; Metazoa; Annelida; Polychaeta; Capitellidae.